Non-coding RNA from Xylariaceae sp. FL1272, 91 nucleotides. Lineage: Eukaryota; Fungi; Ascomycota; Sordariomycetes; Xylariales; Xylariaceae. The record is from the annotation of a GenBank genome assembly.
GGGCGUGUAGCUCAGGGGCAGAGCGUUCGCUUUGCAUGUUACCAAAACAUCAAAAUGCGAAAGGUCUAGGGUUCAAAUCCCUACUCGUCCA